RNAcentral lists this ribosomal RNA (440 nucleotides) under uncultured bacterium. RNAcentral's name for it is "bacterial SSU rRNA". It matches the Rfam family "Bacterial small subunit ribosomal RNA", at positions 958 to 1397 of the family's 1533-position model. The record is from RNAcentral.
AACGCGAAGAACCUUACCUACCCUUGACAUGGUUGGAAUCUUUGAGAGAUCAGAGAGUGCUCGCAAGAGAACCAAUACACAGGUGCUGCAUGGCUGUCGUCAGCUCGUGUCGUGAGAUGUUGGGUUAAGUCCCGCAACGAGCGCAACCCUUGUCAUUAAUUGCCAUCAUUUGGUUGGGCACUUUAAUGAGACUGCCGGUGACAAACCGGAGGAAGGUGGGGAUGACGUCAAGUCCUCAUGGCCCUUAUGGGUAGGGCUUCACACGUCAUACAAUGGUACAUACAGAGGGUUGCCAAGCCGCGAGGUGGAGCUAAUCCCAGAAAGUGUAUCGUAGUCCGGAUUGGAGUCUGCAACUCGACUCCAUGAAGUUGGAAUCGCUAGUAAUCGCGGAUCAGCAUGUCGCGGUGAAUACGUUCCCGGGCCUUGUACACACCGGCUAC